Long non-coding RNA from Carya illinoinensis, 1070 nucleotides. RefSeq lists it as uncharacterized. Lineage: Eukaryota; Viridiplantae; Streptophyta; Magnoliopsida; Fagales; Juglandaceae. The record is from RefSeq and is a predicted model, not a curated record. The transcript is spliced from 4 exons.
AGCAAAAGGCACAGAAUUUGAAAAGGUGUGAAAACAGGGAAAGAUGCCAUUGAAGAUAAAGGAUGGUGAGGCUGCACCUUGUUGUGAAAAUGCACUCAUUUUUACUACAAGAAUUACAUGGUUGGUUAAGUAUUAUAUGGACUUGUGUCAUGCAAGCUGGCAUGACGUACCAAUUAAUGAAAAGGAAAAAUUGAUUUCAAGAGUUCAGGUAAAACUAUUGAAUUUCAUACAUAUUCAAAUAGAGUAUCGAAUUAAUUUGCUUGAUGUUUGUCUCCAGAAUGACUUCAUCCUUGAUUGAACCAAGAAGAAUCAUUGUGAUGCGGUUACAAAGACACUACGCAAGUGGUUUAAUCAUAUUCGCUAUGAUUUACAUAGAACCUAUAAGCAAUAUGAUAGUAAUGAAGAAGCAUUUGUGAAUGUGCCAUCGUGGGUGACACCAACCACUUGGGUGAAGUUAUGCGCUCGAUAUUCAAGCGAAAACUUUAAGCGAAUGUCUGAACGAAAUAAAUUUAAUAGGGAAAAGCAACAAAACAAUCAUAUAGCUGGACGAAGGUCAUUUGUGCGUUUAAUGGAGAUGAGGUCUGGGAAUGAUGAAACUGUGAUCGAGUUUUUUAAAGAAGUGAGGUGGUCAAAAAAGAAGGACAAAUUUGUAACUCCCAUGAUGGAAGAGCAAUAUAUAAGAUGGCUGCAAAUAUGUCUAAGUGGGAGCCUGAGAAAUGGACUAAGGAGGCUGCAAUAACAAUUUUCAAGGAAGUUUUGGGUCAAAGGUCAGGGUAUGUAAGGGGGCUUGGCGAGAUGGUUAUUCUUGAAUAAUCUAGACAAGCAACGGAUGCACAAAUAGCAGAAUUAACUGAACGUGCAAAAAGGUAUGAGAAAGAGGCUACAGAUUAUAAGGGACAACUUGAUGACUUACGAGGGAAUGUCAAGUUACUACAAGCCAAAUACGACAAGUUUAUAGAGAGAUAUGAGUCAGAGAGGCAGACUUAGGGAGAAACUUAAAAAAAUGACAUGCAUAUAGAUUUUAGAUGAGUAAUUUUCGGACUUUAUUUUUUUGAGAAAUUUAUUGUUGG